RNAcentral lists this long non-coding RNA (2630 nucleotides) under Bemisia tabaci. Its description in RNAcentral is "lncRNA ENSSSA1NGG004977". Lineage: Eukaryota; Metazoa; Arthropoda; Insecta; Hemiptera; Aleyrodidae. The record is from RNAcentral.
UCUCUGAAAAACUGGACGCAAAAUAUUUAAAAAUUUCUCGGAAAUACAUGAUUUGUCAAAGGAGAUUUGGCAACGUCUGAGGGCUCAUAUGGCGUUUCUCCUUAGCACGGCUGAAAUCAACCCUGCGCGGCCAGGUGCAAUGAUUUCAAACCUUUCGGUUGCAAUCAAAAAGGCGAUUCACACCGGUACCGUAUGUGAUAAGGGACAGGUUUGAAAUCAUUAGACCAGCGGGCUAAUUAUUGCAAUUGAUAGACAAAGCGAUAGAUAAAGAAGAGAUAAGAAGGAAGGAUCGAUCCCAUUGGUUGAUAUGGGUAGCUCCUAUAGAAAAUGAUGGACUAACUAUAGGAUCUCUCGUGGGUUGCCGUACCUACCUCCUUUGUCCAUUGCAACCACCCGCUUCUACCAAUAGGAUCCCUCCGUAUACCUUUUGUCUUCUUUGUCUAUAGCUUUGUCUAUCAAUUUCAAUAAUCGGCUCGCAGGUCGCGCGCGCCAUCUUCGCGUCGCACGCUGCUUGUGAAACCGUGGCUCCACGAUGUGUCUCCUGCCCGUAAUAAACGAAGCUAUAAAAAGACGAUUUAUCAUCGCAAGAAAGCCCCCGUAUGGAUGGAAAGAUGAGCGGGUGAUGCGAAAAUCUCGCGCUCAUUUCUGGAGAUGAACGCCAAAUCAGUGAUAUCGCGUUCGUCGCGGGUGAAUCGUUCAGUUACGAAUCCUCAGGUUGGAGACAGGCGCAUAAAAUCAUGGUUUUACUCCUCCUCUACAUAUCUAUGGGGUGGAUAUCAGGGCAAGCAACUGCCUUCCGCGCCCCUCAACCAUACCGCCUUGAUGGGAGGUUGUGCCGUACCAUUACGAUUUAUUCCUCGAGGUUAACUUGGAUCCAACCGGCCUUCAUGACGAAAAGGAUUAUUUUAAAUUCAGGGAUAUGUGAAAAUUAAGGUGAGCGAUAUUCUGUUGAGUUUUCCGAUCAGCUCAUUUAUCGAUUAAUUGAACUUUCGGACUCUCAGAAAUUCAACAUUCGAUUGAUUAUCGAAUCGAAUCAAAGUUAAUUGAUUCAUUGAGUUUUUAAUCAAAAUUUCCGUUAACAACCUGUACCAUUGGAUGACUGUCAGGGUCCCUAGGUGUGAAUUAGUGUCUAUGCUGCAAUGGAGCAUCAAAAAUCAUGUAUGCUGAAGAAUGUUGCCUCCCCCAUCCCCGUUCGCCCGAAAAAUUAAGAAGAAAAAAAGAAGGAGAAAAGGAGGAACGAACGGUCGAGGAAAGAAGAAAGAAAAACGCUUACAAUUAAUUGAUGAUUAUUCGUGACGAAAUGGAGUGAAACUGAAUAUUCGAUGCUUCGAAAAUUCAAAAUUUUCUGGAAGAGGCCCACGGAACACCCCCCCCCCCCCCCCCGUUCGUAAAGUCUGGAUCCGCCCAUGGCUGAACAUAUUCCAUUUACUUAAUAGCAUUUCUUGCGAGCAUCAUUUGGAAAUUCCGAAAGAUGAAACUGUAAACUGCAUUUUUGAGAAGGGAACUUUUUAUUUCUGGCUCAAUAUAGAAAAAAUAAACGUGUCUUGAGUUUUUCUGUAGCACAAGCAGUUGCUUUUAUUAAAUCCAUGAAUCAGAAUUAGAGGUGACUCGUUGGCGUGUAUGAUCCUCACUGCUGAAAUUUACGAUGUAGCCAACUUGGCUCAUCGUCAGAUCUUGUGAAACUACGGGUAUUUAAAAGAUAAAAAUAAAUGAUACAAUAAUAUUUUAAUUGGAUGAACCAUUAUCUCUUACUUAAAUUAUUAUGUAAUGUAAUAUCCCAUCAGAACACUUCCGUGUAAAAAUGACCCGCCAAGCUAAAAAUAUAAAUAUUCGUCGCCUCAAAUGCAAUGAUAUCACAUGAAGUAGACGCCAAGCAAAUUUCAUGAAUAUAAAUUGUAAGUUUCUCCUCCCUUCAACAUUAUUACCGGAAAAACGAAAAUUAUAGGCAAAAAAAAAUUAUUUUAAAAAGGGAUACAACUUUAUCAUCUUUUUUUGUACAAUUGUACUACAAACAAGAGGAUAAAUUUGUAUCCCUUUUUUAAAUAAUUUUUUUUGUCUAUAAUUUUCGUUUUUCCGGUAAUAAUGUUGAAGGGAGGAGAAACUUACAAUUUAUAUUCAUGAAAUUUGCUUGGCGUCUACUUCAUGUGAUAUUAUUGCAUUUGAGGCGACGAAUAUUUAUAUUUUUAGCUUGGCGGGUCAUUUUUACACGGAAGAGUUUUUGAUGGGAUAUCACGAAGUUUUUCGUAUAAAUGAUGACAAACAAAUUUAAAGAAAAGAAUGAUGUGAUUUGUAUACAUUUAGUUUUUUUUCAAUUUAAGAGAAAUUUGAAAACUUCUGCAGUGUCUGAUAGGGUAGGUAUUGAUGAGCACUUGAAAGAUACCUAGUUAAUGAAAUAUAAUGUGAUUUCUUGACAUUUUUAAAGCAAAUUUUUAGUAAAAAUAGUGGCCCAAAUUUUAGCACCUUCCUCGACUCAAAACCUCGUUUGGAUCACCUCCAACUUUCCUCAAGUGACUUUCCCUGAAGGAAAAAUCCGAUUGAAUCAAGAGUAUUUUUCUUGUCGAUGUUUUUAAGAGUCUGGACUCUAGAUCCAAUGUGUUUUUUUCCAGUGUAGCGCAACAACUCCUUGAUAG